This 21-nucleotide non-coding RNA is filed under the name Arabidopsis thaliana (thale cress). Lineage: Eukaryota; Viridiplantae; Streptophyta; Magnoliopsida; Brassicales; Brassicaceae. The record is from RNAcentral.
CCAUUACUAUUAUCCCGAGCG